AUGGACGAUAACAUGCUUGCUGGCCUGCUGGCGGGCGCCGGCCUCCCCGCGCGGCCGCCGGGCGGCGACACGCCGCUCCCCGACUCGUCGGAGCAGAUCUACAUCGCCCCCGUCGCGCUCCUCAAGAUGCUCAAGCACGCGCGCGCCGGGGUGCCGAUGGAGGUGAUGGGGCUGAUGCUGGGGGAGUUCGUGGACGAGUACACGGUGACGGUGGUGGACGUGUUCGCGAUGCCGCAGAGCGGCACGGGCGUGAGCGUGGAGGCCGUGGACCACGCCUUCCAGACCAACAUGAUGGACAUGCUGCGGCAGACGGGGCGGCCGGAGAUGGUGGUGGGCUGGUACCACUCCCACCCGGGCUUCGGCUGCUGGCUCUCGGCCACCGACGUGCAGACGCAGCUGAGCUUCGAGCAGCUCAACCCGCGCGCCGUCGCCGUCGUGCUCGACCCCAUCCAGAGCGUCAGGGGCAAGGUGGUCAUGGACGCCUUCCGCCUCAUCAACCCGGCGGCGAUGCUCACGGGCCACGAGCCGCGCCAGACCACCUCCAACGUCGGCGGCACCGUGCGCCCCUCCGUGGAGGCGCGCGUCCACGGCCUCGGCGUGCACUACUACUCGCUCGCCAUCGGGCACCGCCAGAACGAGGUCGAGGAGCGCAUGCUCGCCUGCCUCAACCGCAAGCGCUGGUCCGACGGGUUCGUCCUGCAGAGGUUCGAGGACGCCGAGAACGCCGGCGCCGUGAGCGGGAUGCGGGACCUCGCGGUGCAGUACGACGCGCAGGUCAGGGAGGAGGACGUGACGCCGCCGGAGAGGCUGGCCGUGGUGAGGGCGGGCAGGCCGGACGCCAAGAAGCAGCUCGGGGAGAGAGCCGAGGCCGCCAUGUCCGGCAACAUCGUGCAGACGCUGGGCAUGAUGCUCGACACGGUCACCUUCUAG
RNAcentral lists this ribosomal RNA (930 nucleotides) under Triticum aestivum (bread wheat). RNAcentral's name for it is "partial small subunit ribosomal RNA". The record is from RNAcentral. Lineage: Eukaryota; Viridiplantae; Streptophyta; Magnoliopsida; Poales; Poaceae.